GGUAGGAAUACCCGCUGAACUUAAGCAUAUCAAUAA
This 36-nucleotide ribosomal RNA is filed under the name Meyerozyma guilliermondii. Its description in RNAcentral is "partial 28S ribosomal RNA". The record is from RNAcentral. Lineage: Eukaryota; Fungi; Ascomycota; Pichiomycetes; Serinales; Debaryomycetaceae.